CAAGUAGGCGGUUUGAUAAGUGAGAGGUGAAAUCUUCCGACUUAAUCGGGAAACUGCCUUUCAAACUAUCAAACUUGAGGAAGGAAGAGGGAAAUGGAAUUCUCGGUGUAAGGGUGAAAUCUGUAGAUAUCGAGAAGAACGCCAGCGGCGAAGGCGAUUUCCUGGUCCUUUCCUGACGCUGAAUUGCGAAAGCUAGGGGAGCAAACAGGAUUAGAUACCCUGGUAGUCC
Molecule: ribosomal RNA, 229 nt
Filed under: uncultured bacterium
Lineage: Bacteria
Description: partial 16S ribosomal RNA
Rfam family: Bacterial small subunit ribosomal RNA
Source: RNAcentral